Long non-coding RNA from Dromaius novaehollandiae (emu), 1340 nucleotides. RefSeq lists it as uncharacterized. The transcript has 4 exons. The record is from RefSeq and is a predicted model, not a curated record. Lineage: Eukaryota; Metazoa; Chordata; Aves; Casuariiformes; Dromaiidae.
GCCAGGAGGUGAUGAGCUCCUCAGUGGCUGGAGGGACCCGCCGGAGCUGCAGCCGCCACCACCGCGCGGGCCACGCUGAGGAGUGCCAGGCGGCUUGGGGCGCCCAGGGACCGUGGCCUCGGCACGCCGGGGCGAGCGGAGGAGAGCAGCCGGCUCGCGCUCCCCGGCCGUGGCUCGCUCGGUAACGCUUCAGCAGUGCUGUGCUGCCAGAAAUGCUAGCUGAGCCCGUGCGAGGAGGAAAUCUUGCCGGAAUUGCUGACGUUAUCCCAGAAAGACCCUUUGCAGAUUGACUCAACAGCCACAGAGCUGAUCUGAUUGGGGGCCUACUAAAUACAUUAACGACGUCGAAAGUAGCCUACUUUAAGAGAAAAUAUGCAGAAGAAGAACAUUUACAUCAAGAUUACCAUGAGUAUUGUCCAAAACACCUGAUACUACCUGAGGACCGGACUUGCAUCCUAAAACUUUCUCUCCAGAAACUCAGAUUCCUGGAAGACCCUGAAGCCUAUCUCCGUAGGUCUGUAUUAAUUAACAAUCUGUUGAGGAAGAUUCACCUAGAGACAGAGAGGGAGAGCUAUGAAUACUUUAAGGAGGCUCCAUGUUAUAGGACUACUUACUCUGAUGCACGAAAACGGCUGAAGUUUAUGGUACAAGAAUGCUGUUCUCAGUCACUCUAUUAUGAAGAGCUGCAUUCGUAUCAUAUUGUGCCUUAUUCUGCAGAGAACGCCAUUUAUGGAAUGGGCUACACAAGCAGCCACUUGGAGCAAAAUUCUCAAUUGCUUAUUUAUAAAAUGAAUUAAAAGUAGCUGUUAGACCCACUGAUGUUUGUUUCUGAAUGCUUGAACUGCUUAUGGAGAUGUUAAGAUGAGGCACUAAUUGCAGAUAUCCUUGUGAUCAAAGCCGGGAUGCAUACAGAGCUGAGUGGAAGGCACUUUGAAUAAUGCUCUGCAGUCACCGGUGUUAACCCCUUGGUUAUGAAGUGCGUUGCUGUACACACAGAGCUGGUGCAAUGCAAAGGUUCUCAUAUGCAGAGACUGUGUGCAAUGUGUUUUGUAGAAAUAAAACUGCAUUUAAGUUAUCUGUGUGUAGAUACAGACAUUCAAAGCCACUUUGCAGUUAAAUUAUGCCAUCCCUGGUGGAAGGGGAGCCCCAAAGUAGCAGAGCAGUCUAACAAUGAGGAGUCAAAAGCACGUUAUUUACUGUAAAAGUAUAGGUAGAAAGUUUCAUUGAAGAUGGAGGAGUCAGUGCCAAAGGAAACAGCCUUUUGCUUAGGAUUUUCAGAGACUAGCUCUCUUGCUACUUGCAAACACACUCUAUUGAGAUUUAUAGUUUUUUUUUUUUUU